AAGGAAAAUCCGAGGCAAUAUAUUUAAGCUUUCUUUAAUCAUUAUGUCUAAUAGUUUCGUCUGUUAUGAUUUUGACUUGGAAAAAGAAUAGGUCUUGCAAAGUUUUAGAAUAACCUUUAUAAUAAAGCUUGUAAUGAAACUCUUUUUUAGAUUUUAAAAGUACCCAAAAUACGAUUGAGGAGAAAAAAAGAAACAAGGUUUACCAAAAGCAGAAGAACUAUCAACUAAAAAAAAGCAAGUUAAGUAAUUUUUACACAUGGAAUAUUGUUUUGUAACAUCUGAUCUUAAACAUUUUGGAAAAUAAGGUGCUUUACCAAAAAUCUAGAUUUUAAACUUUUCAAACUGGGCUUGUCAAAGAAGUUUUAAUAGAUUCUAUGAUUGUAUCUAGAUCUUUAUUAGUAGGAAUUGAUCAUCAAUACAACCAAAGUAUUCUUGAUGUUACUUUUAUAGAACAAAUCUGACCAUUCUUUCUUUCUCAUGUCCUCAAAAAAAUUUUUUCAUCAGUUUCUUUCUCUUCAACAGUUAUUUUUCUCUUUUUGUAAUGUUUCUGAGAGCUUUACUGUUAACAAAUACACCUUGUGAGCCAAGUUUAAGGCAAUUGAAAAAAAUAAAACUAUAUCAAUUUGCGCUGGCACCAAGUUAUUCUAUAUCAGGUUUCUCAACCUAUUUUCUAAGCCAAUCUGUUAUUCCUUGUACAACUUGGACAAUGACCGAUUUCUCGGAUUAAAUUCCCAUAUUAUAUUUCAUAUAUGUCUUCUAUGGUAAAGACAUAGGAACCAAGCUGAGGCUAGGGGUAAUUUAAGGGAUUACAAAGCACAGUUACUUGGAGAAAGAUAUGGUACAUUUCUUUCCACUAUUGCCUAAAAAAAUUCUGUAAUUGAUUGUAUGGAAAGUUGAUUUCUUAAAGGAGAACUGACACGCAAAAAAGGUUGGCUAAAACGGUAGUUUGUGACAAGCAAAUUCCGGGAUCGAAAAAUUUUUUUAAAUCACAGUAACCGUUUUUGAAAUACAGGCGUUUUAAGUUGAGAAACGACAAUUGUUCCGACAUCUCGAGACUCGAGGCGAAAAUCGUCACGAGUGGGCGAUCAUAUUUGACGUCACAAGUGACAUGUUUUCAACACGUAUUGUGUUUCUCUAUAGAAACCUUUAACAAAAUGCAGCGGACAAAUGUUUAUUUUGUGCAUGUGAAAGGAGCUAAUUUUGCAUUUAUGACACAUAAUUGACUUUUUCAAUGGUUUGGGACUCUGAAUCGGAGUUUUAUUACACUGAUUUCGAGUCAAAUGGAGAGUUUCAGCCGUCGUCUGAGUUUUUGCUACCAGCCAGCGCUGCCGCUUGGGAAGACAGUCGUCCCAUGGCUCAACAGUGAUGAUGUUAUGAUUAAAGAACAGACUGGAAGUACAAACUGAUAUGGAAUUUCUGUUAAAAACAAUGCUAUUGCUACAAUCUAAAUGAGAUCAGAAUUUUGAAGCUACAACGAUCAAUUAGCUCAGAUGGCGGAAAAUCUUCUCGAUGCUAAGAAGAAAAAUUUAGUGAACGAGACAGAAAGUUCGUCCAAAAGGUGCCAGAAUUUUGGAACACAUGGCAUCGAUGAUUUGGUGUCGUUGGAAACCUACAAAGCAAAAUGGAAGGCAAUAUACAUUAUUUAUUUGGUUUCCUUUUCCAGUUCAAUAGAGUACACAAGCACAAUGCCGUCACUUUGGCCAUACCUACAAAAGGUGCGGUUUUCUCGUUUUCUGAUACCAGUAUUUUGUUAUAAUUUCUUCACUGCCAAAGAGCCUUGUUAUUGUCUUUGCUUAAAUUUCUUGUCUUUAGUAUCAUUACCCAUAAUUGGUCCAUUUCAUUUGAUUUUUUAACUUAAUGUAAUUUUCACACUAUAUCCAUUCCGUAAAAAUAAAAGUUAUGAUAUACUUAAAGAAAAACUACAUUGCAAUAAAAAUUUGCUAAAUUAACUCAGAUAUUAAAUAUUUGAAUCCCAAACUUCCAUGGAUUCGU
Molecule: non-coding RNA, 1992 nt
Organism: Rhopilema esculentum
Lineage: Eukaryota; Metazoa; Cnidaria; Scyphozoa; Rhizostomeae; Rhizostomatidae
Source: RefSeq, a predicted model, not a curated record